UAGCCGCAGAAUACUGUGCUAAGGUAGCAUAAUCACUUGUCUUACAAUUAAAGACUAGAAUGAAAGACUAAACGAGUAAACUACUAUACCCCUUACUAAUAUUAAACUAUAAUAAGCAUUAAAAUAUUCUUAUACGUAAAAAAGACGACAAGACCCCGUUGAACUUUACUUUAGUUAAACUGGGGCAGUUUUUCAAUAAACUUUUAUUAACAAUUUCUCACAACUAAUCCUUACAAAGAAAAACAAGUUACCACAGGGAUAACAGCGCAAUUUUUCUUUUUAGCUCUUAUAUUAAGAAAAGAUUACGACCUCGAUGUUGAAUUAAUCAAUCUAAUAAAAGCAAAAUUUUAAAAGAAAGUCUGUUCGACUUUUAAUUUAUUACAUGAUUUG
RNAcentral lists this ribosomal RNA (390 nucleotides) under Longileptoneta sp. n. 7 HZ-2020. RNAcentral's name for it is "partial large subunit ribosomal RNA". It matches the Rfam family "Bacterial large subunit ribosomal RNA", at positions 1928 to 2607 of the family's 2925-position model. Lineage: Eukaryota; Metazoa; Arthropoda; Arachnida; Araneae; Leptonetidae. The record is from RNAcentral.